UUCCUCUGCCCAUAUCUUUGCCUCUCUCUGUCUCUCAUGAGUAAAUAAAUAAAAUCUUUAAAAAAAUAAAUUUAAAAUCAAAAAACAAAAAGUACAAGUACUAAAAGCCUUCAUGUUAAGGCUAUUGGUCAUUUUGUCCAAAGCUUUAAGGUGGUUCUGCUUAUUAAACUAACUGUGGUGGUCAACUGUGGUGUUUUUUGUUGUUUUACUUAUAAAAUUAGUGUAAUUUCAUUUUAGGUAAUUUAGGGGGUGGGGAGGAAAUACUUCUAAUCUUAAGGCCCACCUUCAAACACCACCACUUUUAUCAUUUUGGUAGCUAAUUCCUAGUGUGCAGUCCAACUGAAUGAAGGUAGGUAUGAAGGUAAUGAAGGUAAACGAGUAUCUCUUUCAGAUACUUGAAUCUCAAAGCUUUAUGAACCCCACUGUAGACCUGCUGUUUUAUCACAAGAGGGCACCAGGAAACGGGAUAGAUAUUCCCCUAGUGAUUAGCAAAUUGGUUCCCUUGGAGAAUUUUAUUAUCCUUAGUAAUGUGACCCAUAUUAAGGGUACUUUAGACUUCAAUGCUGUGUUGUUUUUUUUGUUUUUGUUUUUGUUUUGUUUUUUUUGGUUGUCAAUGAUUAUUGAAAUAUUUUCCUAUGUAGUUCUUAACUAGCUGGGGAUUCCACUGCACCACUAUUGUUGUCAUCUGUGAUAUCAUUAGGGUGGCGGUCAUCAACAUUGCAGCCCAUAGACUGGCCAGUCCCCAGGAUGGAUCUCUUUAAUGGUUCCAGAGAGGAGAGUUCUCUGGCUCAAGAUUGAUGUUGCAUCUGUCGGGCAGUAUUGACAAUCCCAUCAAAAGUGACAUUUUCUCUGUCCAUAAUGUUUUUCUGCUUCAGUUUCUAUCUCUUGGUGGUCCUUUGAGGGCUUUGAUAAUCAGGGCAGAGCAGAUGGUACCACUUCAAUCUGGGCCUGUCUGUUCUAAAUGUUAGUUUCACUAUAAUCCUCAGACCCUUACUAAUCACCUGUUGCCUUGGUAAUGUCAUCACCAACAUUUUUUGGAGAAAAAACCCAGGGAGCUGAUCUUCACCCCAGGGCAGAUGUGGCAUCAACUUCCCCACUGGUGCACCUCAGGUAUACAACUUUGAUCUUGUUGGGGCCGAAUGUAGGCGGCAUGGUUGGAAGUGGGUGCCUGGUGUUGGGUGAACCUGGCCAGAUUUCUAGAUAACUGAAGCCGGUUACACCUUGGCCUCCUCCAAGCUGAAAGCCAAAAGCUAGACUUUAAGAUUUCCUUAAACAUGAACUGGGAAGAGCUCCUUUCCUGCCUUCUUCAAAGAGAGACAUAUUCUAAUAUUUUAGAGCAUUCAUCAAGAGUAGACCCAGUGAUAGUAAACACAUCCAACGGGAGGCUCAGGCAUCAUGCCCUUCCACAGAGAAGCAUUGCUGGCCCUACUGGAAGCUUUGUAAAGAAAGGUCUGCUCAAAUCUUACUCCUUAGCAUUCUUCUCAAAGGAGUUUCAUAAGUUCAUAUAAAUUUCAAUGCUGUUUCUGAAUUUAGAUUUUUCUCUUUCUAAAACCAACUCAGCUUUCCUUUGGUUUAGACCUUUGAACCAGUGCCUGUUCUGUGUGAAAAACUUUCCUAAUGCUGAAGACCCAUCAUGCAAUUUUUAAAACUAGUAAGUAGGCUAACCCCUGAUGGGCUAAUCACUUCUUCGUGAGUUGUAUGCAUUCCAAAAGUCAGUCAUUUGUUCCCAAACUUGUUUAUGCAAGUUAUACUGAGUAAUUACAUAAGUUAAUUCAAUAUUACCCAAAGCAAACAAAUAGGAGCGUGAAGAGAGUUGUGAUCUCUGUGAAAAUAAGCCAAAUUCUUGGGAAGACCUGAUAAAGAGCUAUCUGAUAUCAGCACCUAUCUCUAAAGAUAGGUCUUUAUCGGGUCUUAAGAAAAAAUGCUAUGGAAUUAGGUAUGGGAAAAACAUGUAAGUUUAGGGGGAAAGAAAGGUUGUCCAAAUCCAGCGGAAUUCUGCCCUCAGUUUUUUUCCACAGGUGCCUUGAGUCUUCACUUGAAACUAAAAUUGGUAGUGCUACUUGCUUGCAUUAAUGCAUGUCUUAUGUACAGCCCCCUUCUGUAGACUCUACUCCAAGGAAAAGCCUUUUUUUUAUUUAUUUUAUUUUUUAAAGAUUUUAUUUAUUUAUUCAUGAGAGACACAAAGAGAGGCAGAGAUAAAGGCAGAGGGAGAAGCAGCCUCCCUGCAAGGAGCCUGAUGUAGGACUCGAUCCCAGAAUCCUGGGAUCACGACCUGAGCCAAAGGCAGACGCUCAACCUCUGAGCCACCCAGAUGCCACAAGAAAAGGCCUGUUAUCAAAGGAGUGAUGAAUGAAUAGACUUGUAUGUUUUUAAUUUAAAACAACAUUUUAAAGAUAUUUAUUGUAAUUUUGUGAUUCUCCACUUUAACUGACUUUUGUUUUUAACUGACCAGCUACAGAUCCUGGCUACUUAGGGAAGAGAGCUUCUACUAUAGAUUUCCAGGAGCUGCCAACCACACAUAGGCUUUCGUAAUGAGACGCCACAGGAUCAGAAUCUUCUAGAACAUUCCAGCACCAAGCUCUACUGGACUGUGUGGGCGCUUACUCUAACUCAGAAUCAUUUGAGUCUUGUCUUUUAGGAAAUAAAAAGGAAUGAUUAAACUA
Long non-coding RNA from Canis lupus familiaris (dog), 2663 nucleotides. RefSeq lists it as uncharacterized. NCBI's taxonomy places the organism in Eukaryota, Metazoa, Chordata, Mammalia, Carnivora, Canidae. The transcript is spliced from 2 exons. The record is from RefSeq and is a predicted model, not a curated record.